AGCGCUGCCAGAGUGCGUGUAUUUUGACUUCGAUAUACGAUGUUUCUACGACGUUAUCGUGGGGAGUACCACGACAACAGACCCCAUAACACGAGGGUAUCUGCUCUGUCCAUUUCGUGGCAACUUAGGAAUGAACAGAAUCACUGACCUCGUCAACUCUAGAAGUAUUUACUUGUUCGACGAGAGAAAAACAGUUUUACCACCUCAUCCACAAUGUCCAUUACCGGCUCAGUGAAAAGGUGCAAAUAGCUCAAGUAUACAUUAAAAGCUAUGUAGAACUAUGCAGUGUAC
Molecule: long non-coding RNA, 291 nt
Organism: Physella acuta
Lineage: Eukaryota; Metazoa; Mollusca; Gastropoda; Physidae
Source: RefSeq, a predicted model, not a curated record